RNAcentral lists this unclassified non-coding RNA (307 nucleotides) under uncultured fungus. Its description in RNAcentral is "partial contains small subunit ribosomal RNA, internal transcribed spacer 1, and 5.8S ribosomal RNA". The stretch from base 1 to 73 matches the Rfam family "Eukaryotic small subunit ribosomal RNA", at positions 1759 to 1831 of the family's 1831-position model. Lineage: Eukaryota; Fungi. The record is from RNAcentral.
UCAAACUUGGUCAUUUAGAGGAAGUAAAAGUCGUAACAAGGUUUCCGUAGGUGAACCUGCGGAAGGAUCAUUACCGAGUGAGGGUCCUUGUGGCCCAACCUCCCACCCGUGUCUAUCUGUACCCUGUUGCUUCGGUGGGCCCGCCGCCUGUCGGCCGCCGGGGGGCUCUCCAGCCCCCGGGCCCGUGCCCACCGAAGACCCCAACUGAACCCUGUUCUGAAAGCUUGCAGUCUGAGUUGAUUAUCAUUAAUCAGUUAAAACUUUCAACAAUGGAUCUCUUGGUUCCGGCAUCGAUGAAGAACGCAGC